This 467-nucleotide ribosomal RNA is filed under the name uncultured bacterium. Its description in RNAcentral is "partial 16S ribosomal RNA". It matches the Rfam family "Bacterial small subunit ribosomal RNA", at positions 28 to 507 of the family's 1533-position model. The record is from RNAcentral.
GACGAACGCUGGCGGCGUGCUAACACAUGCCAGUCGAACGGAAAGGCCCUGCUUUUGUGGGGUGCUCGAGUGGCGAACGGGUGAGUAACACGUGAGUAACCUGCCCUUGACUUUGGGAUAACUUCAGGAAACUGGGGCUAAUACCGGAUAGGAGCUCCUGCUGCAUGGUGGGGGUUGGAAAGUUUCGGCGGUUGGGGAUGGACUCGCGGCUUAUCAGCUUGUUGGUGGGGUAGUGGCUUACCAAGGCUUUGACGGGUAGCCGGCCUGAGAGGGUGACCGGCCACAUUGGGACUGAGAUACGGCCCAGACUCCUACGGGAGGCAGCAGUGGGGAAUAUUGCACAAUGGGCGGAAGCCUGAUGCAGCAACGCCGCGUGCGGGAUGACGGCCUUCGGGUUGUAAACCGCUUUCGCCUGUGACGAAGCGUGAGUGACGGUAAUGGGUAAAGAAGCACCGGCUAACUACGUG